This 432-nucleotide ribosomal RNA is filed under the name uncultured bacterium. RNAcentral describes it as "bacterial SSU rRNA". It matches the Rfam family "Bacterial small subunit ribosomal RNA", at positions 338 to 762 of the family's 1533-position model. The record is from RNAcentral.
CCUACGGGUGGCAGCAGUGGGGAAUAUUGGACAAUGGGCGAAAGCCUGAUCCAGCCAUGCCGCGUGUGUGAAGAAGGUCUUCGGAUUGUAAAGCACUUUAAGUUGGGAGGAAGGGCAGUUACCUAAUACGUGAUUGUUUUGACGUUACCGACAGAAUAAGCACCGGCUAACUCUGUGCCAGCAGCCGCGGUAAUACAGAGGGUGCAAGCGUUAAUCGGAAUUACUGGGCGUAAAGCGCGCGUAGGUGGUUUGUUAAGUUGAAUGUGAAAUCCCCGGGCUCAACCUGGGAACUGCAUCCAAAACUGGCAAGCUAGAGUAUGGUAGAGGGUGGUGGAAUUUCCUGUGUAGCGGUGAAAUGCGUAGAUAUAGGAAGGAACACCAGUGGCGAAGGCGACCACCUGGACUGAUACUGACACUGAGGUGCGAAAGCGU